RNAcentral lists this ribosomal RNA (663 nucleotides) under Bacillus cereus. RNAcentral's name for it is "bacterial SSU rRNA". Lineage: Bacteria; Bacillati; Bacillota; Bacilli; Caryophanales; Bacillaceae. The record is from RNAcentral.
GCUGGCGGGCGUGCCUAAUACAUGCGAGUCGAGCGAAUGGAUUAAGAGCUUGCUCUUAUGAAGUUAGCGGCGGACGGGUGAGUAACACGUGGGUAACCUGCCCAUAAGACUGGGAUAACUCCGGGAAACCGGGGCUAAUACCGGAUAACAUUUUGAACCGCAUGGUUCGAAAUUGAAAGGCGGCUUCGGCUGUCACUUAUGGAUGGACCCGCGUCGCAUUAGCUAGUUGGUGAGGUAACGGCUCACCAAGGCAACGAUGCGUAGCCGACSUGAGAGGGUGAUCGGCCACACUGGGACUGASACACGGCCCAGACUCCUACGGGAGGCAGCAGUAGGGAAUCUUCCGCAAUGGACGAAAGUCUGACGGAGCAACGCCGCGUGAGUGAUGAAGGCUUUCGGGUCGUAAAACUCUGUUGUUAGGGAAGAACAAGUGCUAGUUGAAUAAGCUGGCACCUUGACGGUACCUAACCAGAAAGCCRCGGCUAACUACGUGCCAGCAGCCGCGGURAUACGUACGUGGCAAGCGUUAUCCGGAAAUUAUUGGGCGUAAAGCGCGCGCAGUGGUUUCUUAAGUCUGAUGUGAAAGCCCACCGGCUCAUCCGUGGAGGUUCRUGAACUGGUAGACUGASUGCAGAGGAGGAAAAGUGGUACUUCCAGUGUGUA